Betta splendens (Siamese fighting fish) is the source of this 5242-nucleotide RNA transcript. It is a transcript of the gene named coiled-coil domain containing 157, with no coding region annotated. NCBI's taxonomy places the organism in Eukaryota, Metazoa, Chordata, Actinopteri, Anabantiformes, Osphronemidae. The record is from RefSeq and is a predicted model, not a curated record. The transcript is spliced from 11 exons.
AGACGGUGACUGAUACAGGAACUGUAUCGGUCACGUGCUUUCCCAACGCGAUACGCGCACCGACACAGUGUUUCGCUCUAAGAGCUCGACGCAGGCGCCGACGCAUCGGUGUUGCCGGACCCAUCACUACUAUCCGGUAUAUAUUUUCCGAUGGACGACUUGUUGAUCGUAACUGUUUAUCUUUGACAUGACGCCAGGACUCAGCGGAUGUACGACUCAUUAUUACAGCAACAUGUUUGUUCUACAUGUGUUUACGACGCUUGUGUCUGCCUGAAACUGCCGACGACGACAGUUUACACUGUAUGAAAUAAAAAAUAUCGGUUAUUUUACCACUUUUAAUAUAUGUAUGAAGCCAGUUAAACCAGUAAGAUGCUGCCAAAAAGUGAUGAAGCCGAUUCCUUUUUGAUUAGGAGCUUAUUUUUGCCUAAUUUUAAUAUGUACGUAAAGGUUUUUCACGUUUAGAGCACAAAGACAGAGGCUUUAUUGUAUGUGGAGAUGGUGGAAGUCUGGGGCAAAGCUCUGCCCCUCCUGUCAUUUGUAGCACAGGGGAGAAACCACACGUUACAGCAGCCAGGUUGUGGGAGUCUUUUUUUUUUCUUUGGAGAAGUGGCCCGUUUCCUGGGUGGUGAGGUGAAGGCCAGGGUUAUUUGUAGGGUGACACAUUUAUUGAAUGAUAAUUUUGAUUUGGUAUUUGUGUUUAAAAAAAAAAACAGGCUACAGAGCGUGAUGAGGGGUUUAAAACAGAGUAUGAGGGGGUGUUUGUAUCGUAUUUGGUCACUAGAUGGCGACACCUCGCUGGCAGAGAUGACCUCGAAAUUCUGAAACAGACAUUUUUCACACAUUUUUUCAGACAGUUCUCAAAUUCUCAACGGCACCGUGUAAUUGAGCUCAGAUUUUUUCAUCCGUUUUAUUUUAACCACUACAAACGCUUGAUUCCACCACAGAGUAAAAGUGUGUGCGUGUGUGUGUCCUUACACUGGAUGUUCAUGGUGGUAGUGCAGACGUCCACCAGCAGCUCCUUGGUUUUCGCUGCGUUGAUCUGGAGGUGGUUCCUUUGGCAGCAGUCCACAAAGCUUUGGACAGGUUUUCUGUAUUCUCUGUCGCUGUCAUUCGUGACCAGACAAUGGCAGGGUCAUCACAUAACCUGGUGACAGGAUGCUGAGUUGAAUGUGAAGUCUGCAGUGUGAGCAGUGAACAGAACCGCAGGGGUUGACUUGGGAAGUACUUUGCACACCGUAUUAUAAAGAUUCAGGAAGAGAAUCAAUUCAUAUUCUAACAUUUAAAACUACUCAAUCUUAUGAGUCCUACAUAAAGAUAAAUGCUGAACCAAAACAUUAUUCUGUCUUUUACAUUCACAAUUAUUGAUUAUGCAGAAAAAGUCAUCAUUCAGUGUAUCUCACUGAAUAUCUGUCAUUUGGAGAAAUGGGAUGGUAGUAAAUGUGUUUGUGUAUUGAAUGGAUUGCAGUUUGCAGUCUCACAUAAAACAGCAUGAGCAUGGUCUGACAAUGGCCCAUGAUUAAGCCCAGAGACGCAGGGCCACAGUGGAGCAGGGUUCUGUACGCAUACAUGGUGAAAAGUAAUAUUCAAUAAGUAAUAUUCAAAGUGCAUUUAUUCAAGCUUCUCAGGGGAUCAAGCAACUAGUUAUGCUUCAUAACCUUAUACUGCUAGAAACAUGUAUGACAAGUGAAUAGUUACAGUCUACAACUCUCAAACUUUAUUCAGUAUAAUUCACUUUACAGCAGUCUUCAAUUGGCAAAGAGUGAUUAGAGCCAAAGUUUUUGAUCAGAAGCUUAUUUCUGUCUUACUUUAAAUUCACCUCUGACCUAAAACAAGGAACGUGCUGUUUGCUGAAGGCUCUCUUCUGUCCGUUUACCUUGAUCUCUAAUGUGGUGAUGCUAACAAGAUGCACUGGAUGUUUAUUGAGUCUGUUAAUAUAUCCAAGCAGAGCUGCGUGAGUUGAGCUCUGUGCAGUCGAAAGCACACACAGGUGGAAAUACAAACAUAUUGCUGCAAUAACGAGUCGUAGAUCUGAGUCCUAGCGUCAUGUCCUAUAAUUAAAUCGUUAGUUACGAUCGACGACUGCUGUAAAACGAAUUAUAAUGAUUACUGCAGUUGUUUAAAAUCUAAAAGACGGUGCAUCGCUACCACCACUGGACAAUGUCUAGCAGAUAGUAUUUACAAGUUAAAUACAAUUAACCGAAAUAAGCAGCUGUAGUCUCAAACCCGAACAAUACGCGUUUACGACGCGAUGCGCGCUCCCGCGUACGACGGCAAUCGAUUUUUGGCAGACAGCCACUUUUUGGCAUGACACCUGUAACGUGCCGCAAAGCAUCAUGGAACUUGAAGUGCUUAUAUGCGGGUUGUCACGGAGAUGAGACAUCAACAGCUAUCUACUGCACUAACGCCACGUUGCAAAGCAUAAACUUAGCCUCAGUUCAGUCAUGAGUCAGUUCCUGGGUCGCCAGGACUGUAUCGAAAGCCUCCGAAAAGACCUGGUGGACCUCCAAGGUGCAGUUCUGGACGUCUUCUCUAGAACCGGACCGGUCCGCUUUUCAUCCUGGAAGUUCCCCGACAAGCUUUCGUGUAACCUGGACAUGGUGGUUUUGUUGGAGCAGUAUGACUUUGUGGACGGGGAGGAUGCGUUUAAUCAGCAUUCCCACAUCGUGCUGCUGGAGCUCGUCAUUGACAGACUCCUGCUUCUGCUACAGAGCUUCAAUUGUUAUGUUGAGCAGCUGAGGUGCAGGCGCAGGAGAGAAGACACCCAGCACACAGGAUGCCAGUCAGUUGGCCUUGUAGUCAGAAACUACUGGAGUAACCUAGUUCAGCUGUCCAAUUGUAAGGACAGAAAACCCCAAACGUGUGACGGUGAGACAGAGACGGCGUCUUCUGUUUCCUCCCACAUGAGCUCAGCGAGUGACGGCUGCAGACCCGCUUUAGCUGCUUGGCCUUCAACGGACUCCCUGGAGCGUUUGCCACAGAAUCGGCCCUCCUCCGGUCCGAAUCCCAAGAACUCACUCUACCCUAGGGAUAGCGUGUGCAGCGUGAGCUGCCAGACGGUGGAACCGUCCCUGGUUCCCUGCGACGCCUGCCGCGGAGUGCAGUCCCUCCUGAGGAGGACGGGGGAGGCGCUGGUGGAGCUGCUGCGGGCCGAGGGCCUGCCCUGCUCCCUCCAGCCUCUCUUGGCGGCGGUGGAGGACACAGUGGGGGUGGGAGACAUGACGGCGGGCGACGUCGCCCAGUGGGCGGGCGAGCAGCUCAGGGACACGCGGCGGCUGGCGAAGCACCUGCAGGAGGUCCGGGGCACCGUGCGGCCCCUCAGGGACCAGUUAGCGGCGUCGGAGGCAGAGCGGAAGCAGUGCAAGGCCCGGUUGGACAAAGCGCGGAACGAGUUCGAGCGGGAGACGGAGAAGCGCCAGGCAAACGUAGUGCAGCUGGAGUUUUCGCUGAGGAAAGCGCAGAGGUGCGUGAAAGAGACGGAGCAACGGCUGCAGGAGGAACAACAACAACGUAGAAGAGAGAUGCUGAACUGGGAGGAGGGUGAUGCCAGGCUUAAAGAGAAGGCGGCGCUGCAACAAGAUUCACUGCAAGCACUCGCGUGUGAAAACAAGGCACUGCAGGAGAAAGUGAGGACCCUGCAGCGACUUGAACACGAAGCUCGCUGUGACCUGCAAGAAAGAGUCCAGCAGCUGGAGGGUCAGAUCUCUGAAACCCGAGUCCUCCUUGACAAAGAAAGUGCCAAGUACCGCAGCGCGUGUCGUCAGCAGGAGUCCAUGCAGGCGAAGCAGAGAGCCUUGCUGGAGAGGGUGAACGUGCUCGACGAGGACCGCGAGGAUCUUCAGAGGCAGCUGGAUGAGUCAGAGGAGCGACAGGCCGACCUGCGCGAUCAGCUGCGACGGGUCGCAGAGGAGAAGGAGCAGCAGAGGGCUCAGCUCCUCAAAGAGCAGGACCUCUACUCAGAGCUCCACAGGGAGAAGCAGAUUCUAGAAACACGGAUUGGGAAUUUACAGAACACUGUGACGGAGCUGAAGGAACACGUGGACGCGUUACAGGAGAGAGAGAGGCUGUUAGUGGCGUUCCCAGAGCUCAGCCCUCCGACUCAGGACCAACCGCAGACAACGGGAAAUGUGCUUUUGGAUAUGGAGCAACAGCUGAGGGCCAAUAACACUCGCAUCCAGGUUCUGGAGAAGGAAAACUCUACUCUGCACGGCAGCCUUGAGAAACUGAGGCAGAGAGCUCAGCAACACGCCUCCACGGGCGCCUCGCCUCAGCAGACGUCAGGCAUUUCUCUACCCAGCACUCCUUUAGAAAAACAGCAAAGUGCCCCCACACAGAUGCACAGUCCACUAGAGAGCAGCAGUGACGCUCGAGCAGGAUUCAACAACAGAGGAAAGGAAGCACGAGGUGGAGACCGGGAUCUGGAGCCAGAGGCGCUGGGGGAUCGCGUGUCUGCCGCCACUCCCUCGUCCUUGCAAGUUCACGUUCAGUCCCUCCACCUCAACACAGGUGCCACUGUUGCUAAAGGCCGCGCAAAAACACAUAGUGCCUCUGUCGGAGGCUCGAAUUACCGGAGGAAGUGAAGGCGUGUUCGCUACUAGGAGGCAGCUUUAUUCACAGCUGACACAGCUUCAUGUCGACCUCACUGAAGAGUCACGUGGUUCUGAUGAAAUGUGUCGUAGGUACAACCCUCGAACUUUAAGCCGACAAUGACUUGGAUGACGUGUACAAUGAUGUUAAGUGUCGCUGUGUCUGACAAGGGCUGAACCAACAGUUACUAUGGAAACAGCACAUCAGCGCUUUCAAGGAUUCAUGCUGGGCUGAAUCUCUAGAAGUCUUUAUUUCAGUGCGUUCAAGGUUAUACCCGUUGUGAGUGAGUGUGAGCGAUAAUUGCUGCUGCAUGAAUUUGCAGUGCAGAUCAUGGAUCUGUUUGCAGUGCUGAGGUAAAAUGGUCCCAGCUCUGUGGCUUAGACAGGAACAGGAAGCCAUUAAACUUAGGUCAGAGCCACUGAAGUCAAACAUCUUGUAUUUGUUUUUGGAAGUUUAUCAUCAGAAAUCUGACGUUGCGUAAUCUAUUCGUGACUAACAGUGGACGUCAGUGGCGCCAGCUGUAUGUUGGAGUGAUGAAGUAUGUUGGAAUAAUCAGCUGGUUUAUUAUUCUUAUUAAUACUUAUAUGGCCCUAUCUUAUAUAACCUAUAAUCUAUAACAAUAUUUCGUCAUCAGUUGUCAUUCCUCACUUUGAAAGAA